GACGAACGCUGGCGGCGUGCCUAAUACAUGCAAGUAGAACGCACAGUUUAUACCGUAGCUUGCUACACCAUAGACUGUGAGUUGCGAACGGGUGAGUAACGCGUAGGUAACCUGCCUGGUAGCGGGGGGUAACUAUUGGAAACGAUAGCUAAUACCGCAUAAUAUUGAUUAUUGCAUGAUAAUUGAUUGAAAGAUGCUAUUGCAUCACUACCAGAUGGACCUGCGUUGUAUUAGCUAGUAGGUGAGGUAACGGCUCACCUAGGCGACGAUACAUAGCCGACCUGAGAGGGUGAUCGGCCACACUGGGACUGAGACACGGCCCAGACUCCUACGGGAGGCAGCAGUAGGGAAUCUUCGGCAAUGGACGAAAGUCUGACCGAGCAACGCCGCGUGAGUGAAGAAGGUUGUCGGAUCGUAAAGCUCUGUUGUAAGAGAAGAACGGGUGUGAGAGUGGAAAGUUCACACUGUGACGGUAUCUUACCAGAAAGGGACGGCUAACUACGUG
Molecule: ribosomal RNA, 505 nt
Filed under: uncultured bacterium
Lineage: Bacteria
Description: partial 16S ribosomal RNA
Rfam family: Bacterial small subunit ribosomal RNA
Source: RNAcentral